CAAUAAGCGGAGGAAAAGAAACCAACAGGGAUUACCUCAGUAACGGCGAGUGAAGCGGUAAAAGCUCAAAUUUGAAAUCUGGCUCUUUUAGAGUCCGAAUUGUAAUUUGUAGAAGAUGCUUCGGGUGUGGUUCCGGUCUAAGUUCCUUGGAACAGGACGUCAUAGAGGGUGAGAAUCCCGUAUGUGACUGGAUACCUAUGCUCAUGUGAAGCUCUUUCGACAAGUCGAGUUGUUUGGGAAUGCAGCUCAAAAUGGGAGGUAUAUUUCUUCUAAAGCUAAAUAUUGGCCAGAGACCGAUAGCGCACAAGUAGAGUGAUCGAAAGAUGAAAAGCACUUUGGAAAGAGAGUUAAACAGUACGUGAAAUUGUUGAAAGGGAAGCGCUUGCAAUCAGACUUGCACUUGGUGUUCAUCAGGGUCUCGUACCCUGUGUACUUCAUCAAGUUCACGCCAGCAUCAGUGUGAGUGGUUAGAUAACGGGCUUAGAGAAUGUGGCCCCUCUGAGUGGGGGUGUCAUAAGCUCUAUGGUGCAAAUGUACGCCCUGACUAGGGAAACUGGAANGANCCC
RNAcentral lists this ribosomal RNA (566 nucleotides) under uncultured Botryotinia. Its description in RNAcentral is "LSU rRNA". It matches the Rfam family "Eukaryotic large subunit ribosomal RNA", at positions 44 to 613 of the family's 3401-position model. Lineage: Eukaryota; Fungi; Ascomycota; Leotiomycetes; Helotiales; Sclerotiniaceae. The record is from RNAcentral.